This 253-nucleotide ribosomal RNA is filed under the name uncultured bacterium. RNAcentral's name for it is "partial 16S ribosomal RNA". It matches the Rfam family "Bacterial small subunit ribosomal RNA", at positions 524 to 776 of the family's 1533-position model. The record is from RNAcentral.
UACGAAGGGGGCUAGCGUUGCUCGGAAUCACUGGGCGUAAAGCGCACGUAGGCGGCUUACUAAGUCAGGGGUGAAAUCCUGGAGCUCAACUCCAGAACUGCCUUUGAUACUGGUGAGCUUGAGUCCGGAAGAGGUGAGUGGAACUGCGAGUGUAGAGGUGAAAUUCGUAGAUAUUCGCAAGAACACCAGUGGCGAAGGCGGCUCACUGGUCCGGUACUGACGCUGAGGUGCGAAAGCGUGGGGAGCGAACGGG